Molecule: ribosomal RNA, 450 nt
Filed under: uncultured bacterium
Lineage: Bacteria
Description: bacterial SSU rRNA
Rfam family: Bacterial small subunit ribosomal RNA
Source: RNAcentral
GUGGGGAAUAUUGGACAAUGGGCGAAAGCCUGAUCCAGCCAUGCCGCGUGUGUGAAGAAGGUCUUCGGAUUGUAAAGCACUUUAAGUUGGGAGGAAGGGCAGUAAGUUAAUACCUUGCUGUUUUGACGUUACCGACAGAAUAAGCACCGGCUAACUUCGUGCCAGCAGCCGCGGUAAUACGAAGGGUGCAAGCGUUAAUCGGAAUUACUGGGCGUAAAGCGCGCGUAGGUGGUUUUGUAAGUUGGAGGUGAAAUCCCCGGGCUCAACCUGGGAACUGCCUCCAAAACUGCAUGACUAGAGUACGGUAGAGGGUAGUGGAAUUUUCUGUGUAGCGGUGAAAUGCGUAGAUAUAGGAAGGAACACCAGUGGCGAAGGCGACUACCUGGACUGAUACUGACACUGAGGUGCGAAAGCGUGGGGAGCAAACAGGAUUAGAUACCCCGGUAGUCC